RNAcentral lists this ribosomal RNA (414 nucleotides) under uncultured prokaryote. RNAcentral's name for it is "bacterial SSU rRNA". It matches the Rfam family "Bacterial small subunit ribosomal RNA", at positions 505 to 918 of the family's 1533-position model. The record is from RNAcentral.
GUGUCAGCCGCCGCGGUAAUACGGAGGUGGCGAGCGUUAUCCGGAUUUACUGGGCGUAAAGCGUCUGUAGGCGGUCGGGCAAGUCGGUGGUGAAAUCUCCCGGCUCAACUGGGAGGUGUCCAUCGAAACUGCUCGACUCGAGGGCCGGAGAGGGGCAUGGAAUUCCCGGUGUAGCGGUGAAAUGCGCAGAUAUCGGGAGGAACACCAGAGGCGAAGGCGGCGCCCUGGCCGGUACCUGACGCUGAGAGACGAAAGCGUGGUGAGCGAUCGGGAUUAGAUACCCCGGUAGUCCACGCCGUAAACGAUGGGUGCUCGGUGUUGGUCCCGUACAGGGGUCAGUGCCCAAGCUAACGCGAUAAGCACCCCGCCUGGGGACUACGGCCGCAAGGCUAAAACUUAAAUGAAUUGGCGGGG